GGUUGCGGUGGUCCACGAGAUGUUGCUGAGCUUGGCGCACCUACUUAAAGAGGCGGGGAGAACUCUGAGGCAACACGCCAUGGAGGAGGGAGACGAUGUCACGGGCGCGGUUGUUCCACGAUGGGGACGGUGCCAAGAGGAAGAAUCCAAAGCGGGAGAGGGGUCCAGGGCGAGGCGACGACAUGAGGAAGCCCCUUGACAUGGCUAGGUGGUGAUAGCUCGAGGGAACAAACAAGAAGAAACGACCCCAUUUGCCAGACCGCGACAUUGGCAUGCCAAACGCAUGGUCACCGCGUGAACACGACGGCGACACGUGCUCUGACCAUCCAAACCAUGUCUGGGCGAUCGGUCAUUCACCGGAGAGUUCCAAAGAGCAAAGCAACAAGCAUAGGGACACACGAUGUGACCACAC
This 412-nucleotide long non-coding RNA is filed under the name Hordeum vulgare. RNAcentral describes it as "long non-coding RNA (HVUL_LNC016086)". The record is from RNAcentral. Lineage: Eukaryota; Viridiplantae; Streptophyta; Magnoliopsida; Poales; Poaceae.